AGGGUUCCUCCCAUAUGAAUCAGAAUGUCUGGAUCAUAAUUCUUCAUAACACAUUUAAUACUCAAAUCAAAUAUGGAUUAAUUGUGAAUAAAUGUUGAGGAAACUGCAAUUCAGUGAGGUUUAAACAACUGUAUUCUUUAUUUUUUACCUGGAAGACAAUAGCCAGAGUAGUCAUUGUUUUAGUUAAAGUAUGAUUCUCAGAGAAGAUGCUUUGUCUUUCCCUUGGAGAUGAUGUGAGAAUUGUUUUCCACCCUGAAAAGAUGACAAGCAAACUACACCUUCUGCUGAUCCUGCUGGGCCUCUUUAGAGUGAAUGGCCAGAGCAUGGAGUCCAUUUCCUCCAAUCCUGUCCUGAAAAAGCCUGGAGAAACUGUCAACCUCUCCUGUAAAGGAUCUGGGUUUGAUUUUAGUAACUCUGGUAUGAAUAAGACAACUAGCAGGAAGAGAAUUGGAGUGGAUCGGGCUUAUCUACUAUGAUGCCAGCAAAACCAUCUAUGCUAAAAAUAUUGAAGGACGGAUAGAAAUCACCAGAGAUAAUAGUAACAGUAUGGUGUAUCUGAAGCUGUCUGGUCUGAGAGCAGAAGACUCUGCAGUUUAUUACUGUGCCAGGUAGACACAGAACU
This is a long non-coding RNA of Esox lucius (northern pike), 622 nucleotides long. The record is from Ensembl. NCBI's taxonomy places the organism in Eukaryota, Metazoa, Chordata, Actinopteri, Esociformes, Esocidae.